RNAcentral lists this ribosomal RNA (355 nucleotides) under Salmonella enterica subsp. enterica serovar Typhimurium var. 5-. RNAcentral's name for it is "bacterial LSU rRNA". It matches the Rfam family "Bacterial large subunit ribosomal RNA", at positions 331 to 689 of the family's 2925-position model. Lineage: Bacteria; Pseudomonadati; Pseudomonadota; Gammaproteobacteria; Enterobacterales; Enterobacteriaceae. The record is from RNAcentral.
AGUGGAAGCGUCUGGAAAGGUGCGCGAUACAGGGUGACAGCCCCGUACACAAAAGCGCAUGUGCUGUGAGCUCGAUGAGUAGGGCGGGACACGUGAUAUCCUGUCUGAAUAUGGGGGGACCAUCCUCCAAGGCUAAAUACUCCUGACUGACCGAUAGUGAACCAGUACCGUGAGGGAAAGGCGAAAAGAACCCCGGCGAGGGGAGUGAAAAAGAACCUGAAACCGUGUACGUACAAGCAGUGGGAGCACAGGUUUACCUGUGUGACUGCGUACCUUUUGUAUAAUGGGUCAGCGACUUAUAUUCUGUAGCAAGGUUAACCGUAUAGGGGAGCCGGAGGGAAACCGAGUCUUAACC